GGAUUGGGAGGGUUCUACGGAACCCGUUUGGUGAAUCUAGUGCCGAGAAAAGCCUUCUAUGUGUUGAAUUUCUAGUACCCGUACCCCAAACCGACACAGGUGGGUGGGUAGAGCAUACCUAGGGGCGCGUGAUAACUCUCUCUAAGGAACUCGGCAAAAUGGCCCUGUAACUUCGGGAUAAGGGGUGCCUGCGUGAGCAGGCCGCAGUGAAAUGGCUCUGGCGACUGUUUACCAAAAACACAGGUCUCUGCUAAGUCGUAAGACGAUGUAUAGGGGCUGACUCCUGCCCAGUGCCGGAAGGUUAAGGAAGUUGGUUAGCGCAAGCGAAGCUGGCGACCGAAGCCCCGGUGAACGGCGGCCGUAACAAUAACGGUCCUAAGGUAGCAAAAUUCCUUGUCGGGUAAGUUCCGACCCGCACGAAAGGAGUAACGAUCAGAGCGCUGUCUCGGAGAGAGACACGGCGAAAUAGGAUUGUCCGUGAAGAUACGGACUACCUGCACCCGGACAGAAAGACCCUAUGAAGCUUUACUGUAACUUGGAAUUGUGUUCGGACUUUGUCUGCGCAGAAUAGGUGGGAGGCUAUGAAACGUUCCUCGCGGGGAACUGGAGCCAUCGUUGAGAUACCACUCUGGCAGAGUCUGGAUUCUAACCUACGGGGACAGUUCCAGGUGGGCAGUUUGACUGGGGCGGUCGCCUCCUAAAAUGUAACGGAGGCGCGCAAAGGUUCCCUCAGGCUGGUUGGAAAUCAGCCAUAGAGUGUAAAAGCAUAAGGGAGCUUGACUGUGAGACCUACAAGUCGAGCAGGGACGAAAGUCGGCUUUAGUGAUCCGACGGCACUGAGUGGAAGGGCCGUCGCUCAACGGAUAAAAGUUACUCUAGGGAUAACAGGCUGAUCUCCCCCAAGAGUUCACAUCGACGGGGAGGUUUGGCACCUCGAUGUCGGCUCGUCGCAACCUGGGGCGGUAGUACGUCCCAAGGGUUGGGCUGUUCGCCCAUUAAAGCGGCACGUGAGCUGGGUUCAGAACGUCGUGAGACAGUUCGGUCCAUAUCCGGUGUAGGCGUAGGAGCAUUGAAAGGAUCUCUCCUUAGUACGAGAGGACCGGGAGGGACGUACCUCUGGUGUACCUGUUAUCGUGCCAACGGUAAACGCAGGGUAGCCAUGUACGGAGUGGAUAACCGCUGAAAGCAUCUAAGUGGGAAGCCCACCUUAAGAUGAGUGCUCCCUUGAGGCCACGGGAAGACGACCCGUUUGAUAGGCGCUAGGUGGAAGUGCAGUAAUGCAUGCAGCCGAGGCGUACUAAUAGGCCGAUGGCUUGUCU
RNAcentral lists this ribosomal RNA (1319 nucleotides) under metagenome. RNAcentral describes it as "bacterial LSU rRNA". It matches the Rfam family "Bacterial large subunit ribosomal RNA", at positions 1563 to 2925 of the family's 2925-position model. The record is from RNAcentral.